ACGGGAAUAGAGCAGUGGUAGCUUGCUGGUCUCAUACGCCAGAGGUCGUGGGUUCGAGUCCCGCUUCCCGAA
RNAcentral lists this transfer RNA (72 nucleotides) under Pseudolactococcus reticulitermitis. RNAcentral describes it as "Lactococcus reticulitermitis tRNA". It matches the Rfam family "tRNA". Rfam says of the family: Transfer RNA (tRNA) molecules are approximately 80 nucleotides in length. Their secondary structure includes four short double-helical elements and three loops (D, anti-codon, and T loops). Lineage: Bacteria; Bacillati; Bacillota; Bacilli; Lactobacillales; Streptococcaceae. The record is from Rfam by way of RNAcentral.